Molecule: ribosomal RNA, 460 nt
Filed under: uncultured bacterium
Lineage: Bacteria
Description: partial 16S ribosomal RNA
Rfam family: Bacterial small subunit ribosomal RNA
Source: RNAcentral
CCUACGGGCGGCAGCAGUGAGGAAUAUUGGUCAAUGGACGAGAGUCUGAACCAGCCAAGUAGCGUGAAGGAUGACUGCCCUAUGGGUUGUAAACUUCUUUUAUAUGGGAAUAAAAUGUUCCACGUGUGGGAUUUUGUAUGUACCAUAUGAAUAAGGAUCGGCUAACUCCGUGCCAGCAGCCGCGGUAAUACGGAGGAUCCGAGCGUUAUCCGGAUUUAUUGGGUUUAAAGGGAGCGUAGGUGGAUUGUUAAGUCAGUUGUGAAAGUUUGCGGCUCAACCGUAAAAUUGCAGUUGAAACUGGGGGGCUUGAGUACAGUAGAGGUGGGCGGAAUUCGUGGUGUAGCGGUGAAAUGCUUAGAUAGCACGAAGAAGGCCGAUUGCGAAGGCAGUUCACUGGACUGCAACUGACACUGAGGCUCGAAAGUGUGGGUAGCAAACAGGAUUAGAUACCCUUGUAGUG